Molecule: ribosomal RNA, 237 nt
Filed under: uncultured bacterium
Lineage: Bacteria
Description: partial 16S ribosomal RNA
Rfam family: Bacterial small subunit ribosomal RNA
Source: RNAcentral
CGAGCAAUCUGCCCUUCUCAUCGGAAUAAGCGUUGGAAACGACGUCUAAUGCCGAAUACGACCUCCUUUCGCAUGAUCGGAGGUGGAAAGCUCCGGCGGAGAAGGAUGAGCUCGCGGCCUAUCAGCUAGUUGGUGUGGGUAACGGCCCACCAAGGCGACGACGGGUAGCCGGCCUGAGAGGGUGACCGGCCACACUGGGACUGAGACACGGCCCAGACCUCCGUACGGGAGGNAGCG